Long non-coding RNA from Ctenopharyngodon idella (grass carp), 646 nucleotides. RefSeq lists it as uncharacterized. The transcript is spliced from 3 exons. The record is from RefSeq and is a predicted model, not a curated record. Lineage: Eukaryota; Metazoa; Chordata; Actinopteri; Cypriniformes; Xenocyprididae.
UAUAAUCAGAAAUCACCAUCUGCAUCGGAAAAAAUGAAAAACAUUAGAGAGGGAACUGCGGCCCGCCUUUGGCCAGGACAUCAGUGUUUACCUCAUUUCCUGCUUAGUGCAAUGUUGGCUCAAACAGACCUUCAAGGAGCCGAGAAGUUCCUAAAACACAUGCGAAUGACCAAACACCUCCUUGCUUUGGCAAGCUCAUGCUAAUCCAGUCCAGACGACAAGAAAUUUUUAUGGACUGAAUUUCUGGCUGUAAUACGAGUCACAUUCCCUUUCCGGGGGCAGCUUGCUUGAACAUCGGGUAUAAAUGUGGACGUCAGCAGGCAAUGGCUGCUUCCACACUACCAGUGGAUGCCAUUCUGUGCCUGAGGUGAUUUGCGAAAUCCACCUGGGUUUGCGAAAGUACCCGGUUGAUGACCGUUUUUGGGAUCCAACCCUGGAGAACAGGGACAAACCAGACAUUAGAACACUUAUUUGGAAGUAUAAUGUGAUACUACAUUGAGAGCAUUCCAGGGUGCUGAGUGGACAUCCCAGCCAGGAAGCAUGUAGAUCCCCUCCGCUUGGCACAGCGGACACUUACAAAAUCUCGUGGACCCACCACAUUUCCAGGUGUUUCACCUGAAAUCUCAUGUGUGAUCAUAGUAUCUUG